Molecule: transfer RNA, 67 nt
Filed under: Hemiphyllodactylus linnwayensis
Lineage: Eukaryota; Metazoa; Chordata; Lepidosauria; Squamata; Gekkonidae
Description: tRNA-Cys
Source: RNAcentral
CCCACGAGGGUGAGAUACGCCAAAAUGCAAAAUUUGGAGAAGCUCCCCCAGGAGGGAGCCGGGGCUU